AUUGAACGCUGGCGGCAGGCCUAACACAUGCAAGUCGAACGAGUGGCGGACGGGUGAGUAAUGUCUGGGAAACUGCCUGAUGGAGGGGGAUGACUACUGGAAACGGUAGCUGAUACCGCAUACCAUCGGAUGUGCCCCUAUGGGAUUAGCUAGUAGGUGGGGUAACGGCCCACCUAGGCGACGAGCCCUAGCUGGUCGGAGAGGAGGACCAGCGACACUGGAACUGAGACAGGGUCCAGACUCCUACGGGAGGCAGCAGUGGGGAAUAUUGCACAAUGGGCGCAAGCCUGAUGCAGCCAUGCCGCGUGUAUGAAGAAGGCCUUCGGGUUGUAAAGUACUUUCAGCGGGGAGGCGUUACUCGCAGAAGAAGCACCGGCUAACUCCGUGCCAGCAGCCGCGGUAAUUC
Molecule: ribosomal RNA, 406 nt
Filed under: uncultured bacterium
Lineage: Bacteria
Description: partial 16S ribosomal RNA
Rfam family: Bacterial small subunit ribosomal RNA
Source: RNAcentral